GAAGGUCUAAGGCUGGGACCUCCUGCAACCCUAACCAGGCUUUCCCUGAGUUGGGAGGUGAAUUCCCAGAGAGCAGGGCUCCACGCCUGGACAGGUUGGACAGGAGAGGCCCAAGUGGGCAGAUGGAUCCCUCACCAGAGCUUGCAACAGACCUCUGCUCACUAAUUUUGUUUGGUAAAUAGCUAUCCUUCUUGCCAACAGAA
This is a non-coding RNA of Rattus norvegicus (Norway rat), 203 nucleotides long. Ensembl annotates it as Nuclear RNase P. NCBI's taxonomy places the organism in Eukaryota, Metazoa, Chordata, Mammalia, Rodentia, Muridae. The record is from Ensembl.